UACAGAGGGGGCAAGCGUUGUUCGGAAUUACUGGGCGUAAAGGGCGCGUAGGUGGCCUUCUAAGUCGAACGUGAAAUCCCUGGGCUCAACCCAGGAACUGCGUCCGAGACUGGGAGGCUUGAAUCCGGGAGAGGGAUGCGGAAUUCCAGGUGUAGCGGUGAAAUGCGUAGAUAUCUGGAGGAACACCGGUGGCGAAGGCGGCAUCCUGGACCGGGAUUGACACUGAGGCGCGAAAGCCAGGGGAGCAAACGGGG
RNAcentral lists this ribosomal RNA (254 nucleotides) under uncultured bacterium. RNAcentral describes it as "partial 16S ribosomal RNA". It matches the Rfam family "Bacterial small subunit ribosomal RNA", at positions 524 to 777 of the family's 1533-position model. The record is from RNAcentral.